RNAcentral lists this small RNA (509 nucleotides) under Arabidopsis thaliana (thale cress). RNAcentral describes it as "ATSL017430". The record is from RNAcentral. Lineage: Eukaryota; Viridiplantae; Streptophyta; Magnoliopsida; Brassicales; Brassicaceae.
UUUAUGAUUAGAUUCAUCUAUAACUCGAAAUAUCAAUUCUACUACAAUAUGUAUAUUUAUAUAUUUAUUAUUCUAAUAUUUCACUAUCAUGAUCACAUACUACAACAAUAUAUGAUAUACUGAUACAAUGUACAGUAUGUAGUUAUAUUACUUAUGUGUUUUGAAACUUGUCUAACUUAAUUGUAACAAACGAUUAUUUAUUCCAUAUACUCUCUCGUCAUCUAGUACACAAUCACAUCAUGAUAUGCUAGUAAUUUAAGUCAACACUGUAAUUUUCAUCCCUACCAUAAAGUCAUAUAGAGUCUCAUUUUUUUUUUUGUAUGUCUAAUGUCUUGGAUGACUAUUACGUGAAAUGUACAUAAAGAAGGUCAUAUGAUAAAUCAAAUUCACAAAACAUAAUAAUAAAAAAAUAUCCAACUAAAAUUACUAAAUUAAUAUGAGGUUAGGUAGCAAACAUCUAAACUCCAACACAAGUAAAAUUUUAGCCAUUAUGGGUUAAUAACUAUUGA